GGAUAUGUGGAUGAAAAGUCUUAAUUGGAACUGUGACUUGUAAACCCACCGUAAGUUUAUUUGGUUUUCACCUGGAAUUUCUAUUUGGAACCCGCCCCCUCCUGGAAUUUUAAGGACCUCUGCAACUCUGAACAAAGGGAAAUGCCCAAGAUGUCCUGAUCUAAUUAGUUUAAUUCUUUGGGACUUGUUAAGCAUUUCAAAAGAAUUAGACUAACAGAUUCCUGUGAAAUUCUGUGUGUGUUCCAGCUAACAUCCAUCAAAGUCUAGAAACAGAUGUUUUCAGUGCUGCUGAGAGAAACAAAAAAAUGUCCUAAUGCAUCUGAGAGAUAAGCUUCUGCAGUAUCACAAGAAGAUUAAAGUGGCAGACACUCCUUCCAGCGGAAGUUACUAAUUCGGACCUGACUGAUGCAGUUCCCAUAGCAACCUGUGUUUCCCGGGAAACCCGAAAAGGUUGUCAUGGCAUCUCUUGCUCUCUAGCCCCACCCCCUAGCCCUUGCCGUUUCCACUGUAACCUUUCCAGAUGGUUCCUGCUUACAUGAUUUCACAAGGAAAACCGCUAUUUGAAUAAACCGCACAAAUAAAGUUCAGUCUGAGAAACUGAGGUGGUGAAAUGAAUUACAAAAAUGCAUAUUUGUACUACAAAAAAAAUCACUGAUGUCAUCCCCAUAAUUACUGAAUCGACAAGGAAAAUAUCGUCAUUGGAAUGUUAAAUAUACCCCACAAUAAGCCAUGAUUUGAAUUAAAUACCAGUAAUUAGGCAAUCAUUUUAAAAGAUGCUUCUCUACUGUUUUCUUUCCCCCAAGAAGUUUCAAGUCAACAAAUGAAAUUAAAAAGCAAAUGUAAAUGUGUUCUGCACAUAAGCAAAUGCAAGAUGCAAUCCGUUAUACCUGAAACCUUACUACAAGGGACCUUCAGAUUUCCUCUUUAAAAAAAAAAAAAAAAUCCAGAUUCCACAACAACACUAUCACUAUCACAGCCCUUGAAAAACUAAAUGUGCUUGAAAACUAUAAAGGAUGCACUCUUUUAACUAAGGGAAUUGCAGACAAUCAAUAAAAAGGAGGGACAGGAAGUAACCAAACCUUGGAGAAAUACCUGCAAGAUUCAGCCUUGUGCCAGGGGUUGCCAGAAGACAGACAGUAUCAGGGAGCCCCCAACCUCACCCUCACCCCUCCCUGGACAGCACAAAGGUCUGGGGAAUCUCUAUGCAGAUCCCCAUGAAUUCUUUAGAAUGAAAAUCAGCAUUAUGCCUGUGGGUUACAGAUACCCGAGGAGCCCCACAUAAAGAAGUGUAGAGCUGAACCAACCAGUAGGAUGCACAUUCCAAAUUGCCUACAUCAAGAAUACAGUGUUGGUUGUAUCAUGGAUGGGCGAUGAUCUGUCGGCCAGCACAUAUUUUUGUUCCAGUUGACAUUAAAUAACAUCUCUCGCUAACGAAUGCUUCAUGUAAAGGAAACAGCUCUGAGGCCAGAGGAUUUUCUUCAGAUUGUGUGCAAUAUAAAAGGUUGACCAAGAGAUAAAGAAGAACAUUAAAAAUUACUAAGGUAUCAUUUCAGUCUUUGACAUUUUGAUGACGUUUAAUCAUUCAAAAACUAAUCAGUACUGCUGAUAAAGAAAAACUAAAUGUUUGUUUCCAACAAGCCAACUUUUUACUGUUUUCUUCUUUUGGUUCAUUACUGGACUGUGUUUAAUCCUCUUGUAUAUUAAUGUUAUCUUUUAUGUUCUGGUUUACAUGGAGUUCCCGUCGUGGCUCAGUGGUUAACGAAUCCGACUAGGAACCAUGAGGUUGCGGGUUCGAUCCCUGGCCUUGCUCAGUGGGUUAAGGAUCCAGUGUUGCUGUGAGCUGUGGUGUAGGUUGCAGACAUGGCUCGGAUCUGGCGUUGCUGUGGCUCUGAUGUAGGCCAGCAGCUACAGCUCCGAUUGGACCCCUAGCCUGGGAGCCUCCAUAUGCUGCAGGAGCAGCCCAAGAAAUGGCAAAAAGACAAACAAACAACAAACAGCCAAAAAAAAAAAAAAAAAAAAAAAAA
This 2024-nucleotide long non-coding RNA is filed under the name Sus scrofa (pig). RNAcentral describes it as "lncRNA (ENSSSCG00005024691.1)". The record is from RNAcentral. Lineage: Eukaryota; Metazoa; Chordata; Mammalia; Artiodactyla; Suidae.